AGUAAAUUGGUUAAGUUAGAAAGGGCGCACGGUGGAUGCCUUGGCACUAGGAGCCGAAGAAGGACGGGACUAACACCGAUAUGCUUUGGGGAGCUGUACGUAAGCGUUGAUCCAGAGAUUUCCGAAUGGGGGAACCCACUAUCUUUAGUCGGAUAGUAUCCUUACGUGAAUACAUAGCGUAAGGAAGGCAGACCCAGGGAACUGAAACAUCUAAGUACCUGGAGGAAGAGAAAGAAAAAUCGAUUUCCUGAGUAGCGGCGAGCGAAACGGAAAGAGCCCAAACCAAGAAGCUUGCUUCUUGGGGUUGUAGGACACUCUAUACGGAGUUACAAAAGAAAGUUAUAAAUGAAGCGGUCUGGAAAGGCCCGCCAAAGACGGUAACAGCCCGGUAGUUGA
Molecule: ribosomal RNA, 396 nt
Filed under: Listeria monocytogenes
Lineage: Bacteria; Bacillati; Bacillota; Bacilli; Caryophanales; Listeriaceae
Description: partial 23S ribosomal RNA
Rfam family: Bacterial large subunit ribosomal RNA
Source: RNAcentral